UACAGAGGUCUCAAGCGUUGUUCGGAUUCAUUGGGCGUAAAGGGUGCGUAGGUGGCGCCGUAAGUGGGGUGUGAAAUCUCGGGGCUUAACUCCGAAACUGCAUUCCAUACUGCGGUGCUCGAGGACUGGAGAGGAGACUGGAAUUCAUGGUGUAGCAGUGAAAUGCGUAGAGAUCAUGAGGAAGACCAGUGGCGAAGGCGGGUCUCUGGACAGUUCCUGACACUGAGACACGAAGGCCAGGGGAGCAAACGGG
This 253-nucleotide ribosomal RNA is filed under the name uncultured bacterium. RNAcentral's name for it is "partial 16S ribosomal RNA". It matches the Rfam family "Bacterial small subunit ribosomal RNA", at positions 524 to 776 of the family's 1533-position model. The record is from RNAcentral.